GCGUUGUCCGGAAUUAUUGGGCGUAAAGAGCUCGUAGGUGGUCUGUUGCGUCCGCUGUGAAAUCUCAGGGCUUAACCCUGAGCCUGCAGUGGAUACGGGCAGACUAGAGGUAGGUAGGGGAGAAUGGAAUUCCUGGUGUAGCGGUGAAAUGCGCAGAUAUCAGGAGGAACACCGGUGGCGAAGGCGGUUCUCUGGGCCUUACCUGACACUGAGGAGCGAAAGCGUG
Molecule: ribosomal RNA, 226 nt
Filed under: uncultured bacterium
Lineage: Bacteria
Description: partial 16S ribosomal RNA
Rfam family: Bacterial small subunit ribosomal RNA
Source: RNAcentral